UGCACAUGGUCGUUUAAGAGUCCCUCAUAGUCAUCGACGUGGUCAAAAUUGGUUGGGUGAAACAUUUUAGAAAAAAAGAAAAACUUGUUUUUUUUUCUCCCUCUUCCUUCUCUCUCGCGACGAGCGGUGGCGACGCGGCGGAGAACGAUACUCUCGCAUCUGGGGUGUGCUUCUUCUUCUUGUUUUUGGGAUUAACCCACUUUGACGAAAUUCUACAAGAAGCAUAGUUUUAGAUGGAAGUGAUGCAAUUCUUCUUGGUGCUGAGACCCUUCGUGGAUUGUACCCGGUGGAAACCAUAUCAACUGUUGGUAGAAUCUGUUGUGAGAGAAGGUUUUCAACCAAGAUCUGUUCUUCAGAAAGACUGUCAAGUAUGUUAGAGAAGGCUUCUUCUGCUGUACGGGUAGCCAUCAAGGUUAAGGCAUCCGUGAUUAUAUGCUUUACCUCGUCUGGAAGAGCAGCAAGGCAAAGUUUUUGGCGGUAUUAAUCCUCAUUCCAUGGGCGUUAGACUUUUUGGCCCAUGAUUAUGUCCUUAGAUAGAUAUGUGAAGACUGUACCACUUGCUGCCCAGACGCUUGAUGUGAGACGAAAUCAGAAGCUAGAGUCAUAAUCGGGAAUAACACAAUCAUCUUUUAAUCAUAUUUCGUUUUUGUUACGGAUUGGGGAACAACACAAUCAUCUCUAGCUACACGGUUUUUAAUCCUUUGCAGCAGAACCAAAGGUACGUCUUUUUAAACUGUUUGAAGUUGCUUAACCAUCUUCACGUGGUUGAGAAUAUCUGGCAAAAGUUUGCCACAAAUCAAGAUUACAACGAAACUUUUUUCCCAUAUGUAAUUUCUACUUCUAUUUUAAUAUGCUUUUGUGUUUUGUAUGUUUAAAAGUUUAUGAAAUGCAAUAAUAAAAUCUUCAUUGUUUAAACAUUUAAA
Non-coding RNA from Camelina sativa (false flax), 923 nucleotides. The record is from RefSeq and is a predicted model, not a curated record. NCBI's taxonomy places the organism in Eukaryota, Viridiplantae, Streptophyta, Magnoliopsida, Brassicales, Brassicaceae.